Long non-coding RNA from Poecilia latipinna (sailfin molly), 257 nucleotides. RefSeq lists it as uncharacterized. Lineage: Eukaryota; Metazoa; Chordata; Actinopteri; Cyprinodontiformes; Poeciliidae. The record is from RefSeq and is a predicted model, not a curated record. The transcript is spliced from 4 exons.
GCAUGGAGACAGAAAGAAAAGAGCUAGUUCAGUGAGAGACAGUGGUGCAUCUCAAGCUGUUCUGGAGACACUGGCCAGCUGCCUCCAUUUCCAAUCAGCACUAAUUAGGAGCUCUGAAACAAAGAUGUUAGUGAGACCCAGAGAAAAGAAAAGGCCUUGGGCCGUAACAGGUUGCACAAAAUCAUUCAGAGGGCCACAAAUGGCCCCCGGGCCGCACUUUGGACACCCCUGACCUACAUAGAACAGUGUGGUGGUUC